RNAcentral lists this ribosomal RNA (1540 nucleotides) under Escherichia coli. Its description in RNAcentral is "bacterial SSU rRNA". It matches the Rfam family "Bacterial small subunit ribosomal RNA". Lineage: Bacteria; Pseudomonadati; Pseudomonadota; Gammaproteobacteria; Enterobacterales; Enterobacteriaceae. The record is from RNAcentral.
UUGAAGAGUUUGAUCAUGGCUCAGAUUGAACGCUGGCGGCAGGCCUAACACAUGCAAGUCGAACGGUAACAGGAAACAGCUUGCUGUUUCGCUGACGAGUGGCGGACGGGUGAGUAAUGUCUGGGAAACUGCCCGAUGGAGGGGGAUAACUACUGGAAACGGUAGCUAAUACCGCAUAACGUCGCAAGACCAAAGAGGGGGACCUUAGGGCCUCUUGCCAUCGGAUGUGCCCAGAUGGGAUUAGCUAGUAGGUGGGGUAAAGGCUCACCUAGGCGACGAUCCCUAGCUGGUCUGAGAGGAUGACCAGCCACACUGGAACUGAGACACGGUCCAGACUCCUACGGGAGGCAGCAGUGGGGGAAUAUUGCACAAUGGGCGCAAGCCUGAUGCAGCCAUGCCGCGUGUAUGAAGAAGGCCUUCGGGUUGUAAAGUACUUUCAGCGGGGAGGAAGGGAGUAAAGUUAAUACCUUUGCUCAUUGACGUUACCCGCAGAAGAAGCACCGGCUAACUCCGUGCCAGCAGCCGCGGUAAUACGGAGGGUGCAAGCGUUAAUCGGAAUUACUGGGCGUAAAGCGCACGCAGGCGGUUUGUUAAGUCAGAUGUGAAAUCCCCGGGCUCAACCUGGGAACUGCAUCUGAUACUGGCAAGCUUGAGUCUCGUAGAGGGGGGUAGAAUUCCAGGUGUAGCGGUGAAAUGCGUAGAGAUCUGGAGGAAUACCGGUGGCGAAGGCGGCCCCCUGGACGAAGACUGACGCUCAGGUGCGAAAGCGUGGGGAGCAAACAGGAUUAGAUACCCUGGUAGUCCACGCCGUAAACGAUGUCGACUUGGAGGUUGUGCCCUUGAGGCGUGGCUUCCGGAGCUAACGCGUUAAGUCGACCGCCUGGGGAGUACGGCCGCAAGGUUAAAACUCAAAUGAAUUGACGGGGGCCCGCACAAGCGGUGGAGCAUGUGGUUUAAUUCGAUGCAACGCGAAGAACCUUACCUGGUCUUGACAUCCACGGAAGUUUUCAGAGAUGAGAAUGUGCCUUCGGGAACCGUGAGACAGGUGCUGCAUGGCUGUCGUCAGCUCGUGUUGUGAAAUGUUGGGUUAAGUCCCGCAACGAGCGCAACCCUUAUCCUUUGUUGCCAGCGGUCCGGCCGGGAACUCAAAGGAGACUGCCAGUGAUAAACUGGAGGAAGGUGGGGAUGACGUCAAGUCAUCAUGGCCCUUACGACCGUGGGCUACACACGUGCUACAAUGGCGCAUACAAAGAGAAGCGACCUCGCGAGAGCAAGCGGACCUCAUAAAGUGCGUCGUAGUCCGGAUUGGAGUCUGCAACUCGACUCCAUGAAGUCGGAAUCGCUAGUAAUCGUGGAUCAGAAUGCCACGGUGAAUACGUUCCCGGGCCUUGUACACACCGCCCGUCACACCAUGGGAGUGGGUUGCAAAAGAAGUAGGUAGCUUAACCUUCGGGAGGGCGCUUACCACUUUGUGAUUCAUGACUGGGGUGAAGUCGUAACAAGGUAACCGUAGGGGAACCUGCGGUUGGAUCACCUCCUU